Molecule: long non-coding RNA, 739 nt
Filed under: Homo sapiens (human)
Lineage: Eukaryota; Metazoa; Chordata; Mammalia; Primates; Hominidae
Description: non-protein coding lnc-LCLAT1-2:1
Source: RNAcentral
GUUCUGCAUGAGUGGCUCUCCUGGCGAGAUAAAGAAGAGACAGUGAGCUGAGGCUGAGGCUGAGAAGGCUGGCAUAUGUGAUGUCUUCGGGGAUCGGAAGCUCAUUUGAAGAACGCCUGUGCGUGGAAUCAGCCAGAGAGACAGCAAGAGAACCCCAUCUCUGACAAUGGCCUGGAUCACCUAUCUCUUCAAAGCAGAGUGGAACCAGGCCAGGAGGGAGGUGUCCCAGGGUGAGCAUGCACAGGAGGGAGUCUGCAGAGCCAAAUGCUGUGAAGCUCCUGCCUUUUGGGCCCAGAGACUUCUGAGACUCGUGCUCUCCCUCUGUGCUUUCAACUUAUAAAACCUGCUGUUUUGAUCUGAAAGAAAAAAAAAAGGGAUUCAGCUGCUAGGUUAAUGCUGUUGGCUAAGUAUUUCAGAGACACUUCAUGACUUACACAUGAGCAGAGAAUGGGCCCGGGAAGCAGCAGCUGUGGGAAUCAAGGCUGUCCACUGAACCUGUAUGAAGCACAAUGUUCUUAUCUAUAAGACGGGAGAAGUAAGCCCUGUCCCACAUUGCUUCCCAAGGAGGGGACAAAGGAGGCUGUUCAAGGCAAGUCUCUUCACCAGACAUCUGUUGUCACAUUCAUGAUGCUGAACAAAACCCUCAAAACCACAGUGGCAUCCAAGAGGACUCACUGAAUUAGCUCAUGAGACUGGGCUUCAGCUGAUCUGAGCUUGGCUGCUCCUAACUCUACUUGCA